Molecule: long non-coding RNA, 306 nt
Filed under: Gallus gallus (chicken)
Lineage: Eukaryota; Metazoa; Chordata; Aves; Galliformes; Phasianidae
Source: RNAcentral
AAAACUAAGAAAUGGAAAUAGAAAAGUCUUCUCUUCUGAGUGGAUGCCAGCCUACCAACUGUGUAUGAAGAAGAAACACCUAAGCUGUUUAAACAGUAGUUUUUUCUGCCACAAGUUUUAAGUAUCAAAUGCUUUACCCGAAUACAGCUUGCAUAUGGACUGUAUUAUUCUGAAGGUGGUAUUCAAUAUCAUAUGUAUGUUAGCGUACUUUACAGGGAGAUUUGUCGUAGCAAUCAUUUGCAGUGUGUCAUUGGAAAGAAGUGAACCAGAAGUGACUGUCAUACCACUACAUUAUCACAACACCAG